GGUAUAGGUUUUCAAGU
This 17-nucleotide unclassified non-coding RNA is filed under the name Mus musculus (house mouse). Its description in RNAcentral is "oocyte_clustered_small_RNA1539". The record is from RNAcentral. Lineage: Eukaryota; Metazoa; Chordata; Mammalia; Rodentia; Muridae.